RNAcentral lists this non-coding RNA (21 nucleotides) under Caenorhabditis elegans. The record is from RNAcentral. Lineage: Eukaryota; Metazoa; Nematoda; Chromadorea; Rhabditida; Rhabditidae.
UUUAAUGAAGACAAGAAAAAA